GUAGGGGGCAAGCGUUGUCCGGAUUUACUGGGCGUAAAGAGCGUGUAGGCGGCCACGCAGGUCCGUUGUGAAAACUGGAGGCUUAACCUCCAGACGUCGACGGAAACCGUGUGGCUAGAGUCCGGAAGAGGAGAGUGGAAUUCCUGGUGUAGCGGUGAAAUGCGCAGAUAUCAGGAAGAACACCAAUGGCGAAGGCAGCUCUCUGGGACGGUACUGACGCUGAGACGCGAAAGCGUGGGGAGCGAACAGGAUUAGAUACCCUGGUAGUCCACGCCGUAAACGAUGGGUGCUAGGUGUGGGAGGUGUCGACUCCUUCCGUGCCGUAGCUAACGCAUUAAGCACCCCGCCUGGGGAGUACGGCCGCAAGGCUAAA
RNAcentral lists this ribosomal RNA (373 nucleotides) under uncultured bacterium. RNAcentral's name for it is "bacterial SSU rRNA". It matches the Rfam family "Bacterial small subunit ribosomal RNA", at positions 527 to 898 of the family's 1533-position model. The record is from RNAcentral.